RNAcentral lists this ribosomal RNA (256 nucleotides) under uncultured bacterium. RNAcentral's name for it is "partial 16S ribosomal RNA". It matches the Rfam family "Bacterial small subunit ribosomal RNA", at positions 98 to 354 of the family's 1533-position model. The record is from RNAcentral.
CGGGACGGGUGAGUAACGCGUGGGCAACCUGCCCCGCACUGGGGGACAACAGCUGGAAACGGCUGCUAAUACCGCAUAAGCGCACAGCUUCGCAUGAAGCAGUGUGAAAAACUCCGGUGGUGCGGGAUGGACCCGCGUCUGAUUAGCUGGUUGGCGGGGUAACGGCCCACCAAGGCGACGAUCAGUAGCCGGCCUGAGAGGGUGGACGGCCACAUUGGGACUGAGACACGGCCCAGACUCCUACGGAAGGCAGCAG